AUAUCCGAAUCCGACCUGUACUUGCAAAUUUACUAGAAUGGAAUCUAGGAGGUGUUAUCAAAAAGAACCGAAAUCCGAAAAACCCAAUCCGAACGCCAACGGGUACCCGAACGCCUAGAUCGAGGGUAUGAGAGUUAAACUUGGGAUGUAUACCAAUUAUGGAAGUAGUCGCCGGCAUAUUAUUAUUAUUUAAAUGUGUGGUCCCUAUGAAAGUUAACUUGGCCAUAUGAUCAAAGUAUACGACGUCUCACGUGCCUCAAGCGUCGGGUCUGGCAUUAAUUAUAUGAGUUGUCAGAGUCCGUGAUACAGUUUGAGGGAUGGAUAGAUUACAGUUCCAUAUUAACUCUUUACAUUAAAUACAAUUUGAACUACUAAUUCAGUAGAUAGCUCUUUUGUUUUUUGAGUUCCCAUUAUAUCAAUUUAUCCUCCUCAAAAAAAAUAUCUAUCUAUUUAUAUAGAAGAAGGUUUCCUCUCUCCUGGUUGAGACACAUAAGCAUCCACGUCAUAAAAUCGACUCCUCUAAACGCGACACGUGUUCCACACGAAUGAAACUCAUCGUUUCAUUUAAGCUUGAGCCAAUUGGGCUUUGAUCGUUAAUAUAUCUGAUUUCUUUAGUUUGUUUACGUUUUGAAUGGGUUUUAAGUUUCAAUAACCGGAUAUCAAUUAAUAGGCUUCAAUAUUAACUGCAACAAUUGUUUUGGGUUUAGGAAGCUUGGUCAAACUGGCUGCUAAUACACAUGAUGAGCCUAACAACUCCAAACGUCAUCUUCAAAACUAUAGACGAACCUUUCUAGAGCUCCUUCAAUGCACUAUUUCUCAUUCAAUGCAUCUCUCUUUUCCCAGUCGGUGAAAUACAACUAUAAGUAGAUUAGUCUUCAAUCUGUAAAACUCAUCAUUUCAUUUCUUACAGUCAUAUAAACUUUGGCAAACCAGAAUGGUGAAGAAUCCUUCUCUCCUCCUUGCUGAUUUUAAAGCAGUCAUAAAUAGAUUAAUCUUCUAUCAUUUCUCUUCCUGGACAACGAAACCUCUUUUUGCUUGCGCACUCAUGAAGCCGUUUGCAGACAGACUUUUUACAGAGUAUGAGGUUAAUGUGAGACGAAAACAGCUUUGUGUUUUGCGGCGGACGAUUCGGUUAAGACAGAUGCUUCUUCCUAAGCUGGAGAGAGGUGAUGAAUCAGAUGAUGGAGGCAUGGAAACCAGUCCUAGAUUUACCAGAGGAGGCUUCUCCACCAGGAUAAAGGUGUGACACGCUCUUGACUGAUGUAAAGGUUAUGAAAAGUAAGUUUGAUGUACUUAAAAAACAUUUUCAAAGAGAGUGUUCUCAGAAGUAGCUGAGAGACAAAGCUAUGAGAAUCUAGCGUGAAAAAGCACAUUUGUUGCAGUUUGGGAAAGACACAAAAUGUGAGCUCCGGAAACAUCUUGGAGAGGUUUCUCCAAACAACUUUGCGCGAAUGAAUAGGCUACUGGGGUAAAAGACGGAGAGAUUGCGAAUCUAAAAGAUGAGGAUAAGGUUGAUCAGUUGAUCUUAGCUCGCUGACAACUAGAGACUAAGGAACUUGAAUCUCAGUGUAGCAUCCAUUCUUUGUUUUUAUUUAUUCUUGAGUUAUGUUAUUGUUGGAAAGUUUAUGUCCUUACCUUACAAAUGACCAUUGUUCCACCUGUAGAAAAAUCAGUUGGAGAAACAAAGAUUUUCUAAAGUUACAAUUUUAAAGCUCUUUGGCUAAUUUAUAAUGUUAUUUUGAGAAACAGGUCCGUAAAACCAACAACUCAAACUGCACCGUCUGAUUUUAUUCUAGGGUGGGGAACUAACUGUGUUUAGUGAUUUCUCUGCUGAGAAAUCCAAAUAUCAGAGGAAACAACAAUCAAUAUGACAAACAUAAUUUAGGAAUUCUAUGUCAAGUCAGCCGUGUAAAACGCAAACAUUAUGACGACUUUGGCUGUUUAAAUGAAUUUGAAUGAAAUAAAAAAGUAUACAAAAUUUUUGGACUUUUGUUGGGAUUGUGAGAAAGUUAAAGGAGAAAACUUAUUAUACCAAACUUUGUUAUGUCUUUUAUAUUUUUUUGCAGAUAUAUAUCUUCAUUGUGUUCAUGGUCGGCCACAAUCAAGAAAGUGAGAAAUAACCUUUUUACAGAAUGAGCAUUCUCUUCUUUCAAUCUCUCUUAUAGGGUUACAGUAUUUAGCGGCAAUAAAGCGACCCAGUAAUAAAUCAGGUGAAUCGUGAACAUCCUUACAUAAUCUCUCUGUCACCUCAGUCAUUGUAUAUUUUUCUCAAGAGUUAUGUUCUCUUUAACCUGAGGUUUAUUAUGAGUAGUUGUUGAUCUCUCUCCAUGUUAUAAGCUUCCUCCUGGUUUUGAGGUAUAUCAUUAUCACAUUUCAGGUUGAGCCCAGAGUUGAAGCUGAAUCAUGGUUUGUAAUUGGUGGUUUUAAUGAAAACUUUGUUGUAAUGGGAGAAUGGUUAGACGGUAGUCCUAAACAGAAGAAGAGAUCGAGCUUAUUCACGAGGUGGUCUUAGUGAAAGGAUUGUUGUGAGGGCCGGUUUUAUCCGAGUAUAAACACUGACAGCAUUCUUCGGUUUCUAUGUUUAA
Brassica napus (rape) is the source of this 2585-nucleotide long non-coding RNA. RefSeq lists it as uncharacterized. The record is from RefSeq and is a predicted model, not a curated record. Lineage: Eukaryota; Viridiplantae; Streptophyta; Magnoliopsida; Brassicales; Brassicaceae. The transcript has 2 exons.